AACGCAUCUUGCGGUCGUUGGUAUUCCAACGACCACGCCUGUUUCAGUAUCAAAAACACCCCACAUCUUAAAAAUCUUUUUUUUUUAACGAUGGUCUUGGGAGAUUAACCGCCCCUUCAUACGGGCAGUUCUCCUUAAUAAUAUUUGGCUAAGAUUGUUCUUUCUGUCUGCCUAGAAACUUUUUUUUUAAUUUUUAAAAGAUUGGUUUUCUUUAGCAACUUACACAGUUAAGAAAUGUGGAGGCCACUCAAAUAAUUCUCAAAUUUUGAUCUGAAAUCAGGCGGGAUUACCCGCUGAACUUAA
RNAcentral lists this unclassified non-coding RNA (303 nucleotides) under uncultured Mucor. RNAcentral describes it as "sequence contains ITS2". Lineage: Eukaryota; Fungi; Mucoromycota; Mucoromycetes; Mucorales; Mucoraceae. The record is from RNAcentral.